This 507-nucleotide ribosomal RNA is filed under the name uncultured bacterium. Its description in RNAcentral is "bacterial SSU rRNA". It matches the Rfam family "Bacterial small subunit ribosomal RNA", at positions 28 to 528 of the family's 1533-position model. The record is from RNAcentral.
GACGAACGCUGGCGGCGUGGAUUAGGCAUGCAAGUCGAACGGUAUCAUCCUUUCGGGGGUGAGAGAGUGGCGAACUGGUGAGUAACACGUAGGUUAUCUACCCUCAAGACGGGGACAACCCAGGGAAACUUGGGCUAAUACCGGAUGUGAGCAACUUUUAGUUGUUUGAAAGGUGGCGUAAGCUGUCGCUUGGGGAUGAGCCUGCGUCCUAUUAGUUAGUUGGUGAGGUAACGGCUCACCUAGGCAAUGAUAGGUAGGCGGCCUUAACGGGUGGUCGCCCACACUGGGAUUGAGAUACGGCCCAGACUCCUACGGGAGGCAGCAGUCGAGAAUAGUCUACAAUGGUCGGAAGACUGAUAGUGCGACGCCGCGUGAACGAUGAAUCCCUUCGGGGUGUAAAGUUCUUUUAUAUGUGAGCAGUGCUUCUUAUAUUAACAGUAUGGGGAGAGAGAUAUUAGCAUAGAAUAAGCAACGGCUAACUCCGUGCCAGCAGCCGCGGUAAAACGU